CCUACGGGUGGCAGCAGUGGGGAAUAUUGCACAAUGGGGGAAACCCUGAUGCAGCGACGCCGCGUGCGUGAAGAAGGAUUUCGGUAUGUAAAGCUCUAUCAGCAGGGAAGAAAAUGACGGUACCUGAUUAAGAAGCCCCGGCUAACUACGUGCCAGCAGCCGCGGUUAUACGUAGGGGGCAAGCGUUAUCCGGAUUUACUGGGUGUAAAGGGGGCGUAGACGGCAGCACAAGUCUGGAGGGAAAUGCCGGGGCUUAACCCCGGAACUGCUUUGGAUACUGUGCAGCUAGCGUGCAGGAGAGGUAAGUGGAAUGCCUAGUGUAGCGGUGAAAUGCGUAGAGAUUAGGCGGAACACCAGUGGCGAAGGCGACUUUCUGGACUGUACCUGACGCUGAGGCGCGAAAGCGUGGGUAGCGAACGGGAUUAGAUACCCCUGUAGUC
Molecule: ribosomal RNA, 440 nt
Filed under: uncultured bacterium
Lineage: Bacteria
Description: partial 16S ribosomal RNA
Rfam family: Bacterial small subunit ribosomal RNA
Source: RNAcentral